GACGAACGCUGGCGGCGUGCUUAACACAUGCAAGUCGAACGGAAAGGCCUGCUUUCCCUUGUGGAUUGCGGGUACUCGAGUGGCGAGCGGGUGAGUAACACGUGAGUGAUCUGCCCCCAACUUGGGUAUAAGCCUGGGAAACUGGGUCUAAUUCCCGAUAGGACUGCAGGGUGGUGCCUGUGGUGGAAAACGAUUUUCUAGUGGUUGGGGAUGAGCUCGCGGCCUAUCAGCUUGUUGGUGGGGUAAUGGCCUACCAAGGCGGCGACGGGUAGCCGGCCUGAGAGGGUGGACGGCAACAUUGGGACUGAGAUACGGCCCAGACUCCUACGGGAGGCAGCAGUGGGGAAUAUUACACAAUGGGCGGAAGCCUGAUGCAGCGACGCCGCGUGGGGGAUGACGGCCUUCGGGUGGUAAACUCCUUUCGACCGCGAGGAAGCCACCUGGUUGGAAGGGUGGUGACGGUAGUGGUAGAAGAAGCACCGGCUAACUACGUG
Molecule: ribosomal RNA, 494 nt
Filed under: uncultured bacterium
Lineage: Bacteria
Description: partial 16S ribosomal RNA
Rfam family: Bacterial small subunit ribosomal RNA
Source: RNAcentral